AAGAUUUUAAGUUAAAAAACUAUUAACCUUCAAAGUAAUUUAAAAAUGUUUAUUUAUAAAUCUUA
This 65-nucleotide transfer RNA is filed under the name Phylloecus linearis. RNAcentral's name for it is "tRNA-Trp". Lineage: Eukaryota; Metazoa; Arthropoda; Insecta; Hymenoptera; Cephidae. The record is from RNAcentral.